This is a long non-coding RNA of Gadus morhua (Atlantic cod), 1043 nucleotides long. RefSeq lists it as uncharacterized. The record is from RefSeq and is a predicted model, not a curated record. Lineage: Eukaryota; Metazoa; Chordata; Actinopteri; Gadiformes; Gadidae. The transcript is spliced from 3 exons.
AGGGUUUAUAUAAUUUAGUGUUAUUCGUUUACGUGUUUAUGGAGUAAUACAUAAAUUGGACCGUUUAACAGGUGAUGUGCACACACCGAGAGAGUGAGGGACAGUAAAAGUGAGGUAAAAUUGUGUGUGUGUGUGUGUGUGUGUGUGUGUGUGUGUGUGUGUGUGUGUGUGUGUGUGUGUGUGUGUGUGUGUGUGUGUGUGUGUGUGUGUGUGUGUGUUUGUCUGUCUGUGCCCAUGUAUGGAACAAGAGCACCAGUCAUGUCCCCUAAACAGCGCACCGGCCGCUUAUGUUCCUUAGUUACGAAAAAGGAGGAAAUAUCGAUCUCUCUGUGCCCCCAGUGACAUCUAGGUAGACCGUGUGUCGAGGUCAGCAGCUUGUAAAAAGAGCUCGCUGGACUCCAGCGCAGAGCGCACCAGAGCCUAAUCCCUCUGCUGGUCAAGCAUUUCCUAAAACAAGGACAUCACAUCAAAGACCACGUAUGGAGACGGACAAGAAUGAAUGCCAAGUGCUGAAACAGCAUCCCACGCCACCCCUGGGGGCAUUACGCUGAUCCCCGCAGAAUGGAGCACACAUCGAAGCAGGCAGCAGGAACUUUAUUGGUGAAUAGAAACUUGGCCGGUUGCCAUGACUCAAUGUAUUAAUAUGAUUUGUAAUAACAUUCAUUAAAAAUAUAUAAAAAGCUGGAAAUAAGAGCAUAUACAGCUGUGUUUCAGAUCAAUGAAGGAGAUGUUUGUGUUCAAAAUAAGUUUGUCACAGUGCUUAGAUAUGGUGUUUACCUUACUCAACAUGUCCAAUAGUGUUUUUUUUAACAGCCAAAACAUAUGAUUAUACCAAGACGGCGUGGGGAAACCAAAGAGGCCAUCCCAAACUGCCCCCCCCCCCCCCUCUUUUAUUUGGAAUGAUUAAACAAAAACAAAGCAAACAUUUGGAUAAAGGUGGGACUCAUUGUACUGUCUUAUCUUUAAUAAUGCUACAUGUCGCUCCACUUUGGAUGGUAUUAAAUCAACAGCCAAGCUCUGAAAGCGAAAUGGAACAGAUGGAC